GGGAACACAAGCGUUCAGUUGUGUCGACGCCUAGUCGAAGCACUGGUUCAAUAUUGACGCCAGACACGUUGUCCUGUCUAGCACACCCAAUGCUGCCCAACCGGUUUAUCACAAGAUACGACAUGAACACCACGUGAAGCCCCGACGUCCUUUGAACGUUCAAGAAAUGGUUGGGUUUGGUCAAGGGACUGGUAUUGGAUCUGAUAUAUUAUCAUUGUUGUCACACCUUUUCGCUAAAUACGAGGUCUUGAAAAUGCUUGGUAUUGCUCCUUGUGAGGUGUUACCCAACGUUAAUGACGCCUGUCUGUAUAAGUGGUACAUACUUGACACCUAUGGCGAAGGAUGAGCCAGUUAUUUUCGAGUUUGUACUUUGGGUGCAUCUCGUUCCUCGGGUUGCAUUGCGCCCGCGACCCCAUAGGAGUUCCUGGUCUUGUCUCUUCGCCCCCAACCCCGAUAAACUCUAUGUGCCGUGAACGAAUGCUCAUCAGGUCGACAGUUAUUUGACGACGUAAAUCCAUCCAUAUUAACUGGCGCUGCGGCUGCGCUCAAUAGACUUCGUUGGGGAGUCUGAGCCUGAUAGGGUGUACCAGUCCAGCCGGUUAUGUACGGUUGGUAUGCUCUAUGAUAUGGAUCUCCAUCCACCUGUCAGCUAGGGGCAGACCCCAGUGUCUCAACCCUGGGUCUCAGAGGCGGUAACUUCUAGUCAGGCAGCGCGCUAUGUCUGGUUAGGCGACAUGGGUUACCAGGAGCAUCCACAGCCAAAAUGGUUUGCACAUGGAGGUCAUCGCGACCGACUUGUGAGGGGGAAGAAGUGAUGUCCAUGGCGGUUUCAAAUUGAUCUGACGACCCCCGCGUCUUCUGGACACGGAGGGGUUCAUGUGGCCAAAUCCUGUCAGCUAAAUCCUAUCGUUAGCAUCGU
Molecule: long non-coding RNA, 919 nt
Organism: Lineus longissimus
Lineage: Eukaryota; Metazoa; Nemertea; Pilidiophora; Heteronemertea; Lineidae
Exons: 3
Source: RefSeq, a predicted model, not a curated record